RNAcentral lists this ribosomal RNA (711 nucleotides) under Microbacterium imperiale. RNAcentral's name for it is "bacterial SSU rRNA". It matches the Rfam family "Bacterial small subunit ribosomal RNA", at positions 80 to 805 of the family's 1533-position model. Lineage: Bacteria; Bacillati; Actinomycetota; Actinomycetes; Micrococcales; Microbacteriaceae. The record is from RNAcentral.
UUGCUCUGUGGAUCAGUGGCGAACGGGUGAGUAACACGUGAGCAAUCUGCCCCUGACUCUGGGAUAAGCGCUGGAAACGGCGUCUAAUACCGGAUACGAGCUGCGAUCGCAUGGUCAGUAGCUGGAAAGAAUUUCGGUCAGGGAUGAGCUCGCGGCCUAUCAGCUUGUUGGUGAGGUAAUGGCUCACCAAGGCGUCGACGGGUAGCCGGCCUGAGAGGGUGACCGGCCACACUGGGACUGAGACACGGCCCAGACUCCUACGGGAGGCAGCAGUGGGGAAUAUUGCACAAUGGGCGGAAGCCUGAUGCAGCAACGCCGCGUGAGGGAUGACGGCCUUCGGGUUGUAAACCUCUUUUAGCAGGGAAGAAGCGAAAGUGACGGUACCUGCAGAAAAAGCGCCGGCUAACUACGUGCCAGCAGCCGCGGUAAUACGUAGGGCGCAAGCGUUAUCCGGAAUUAUUGGGCGUAAAGAGCUCGUAGGCGGUCUGUCGCGUCUGCUGUGAAAACCCGAGGCUCAACCUCGGGCCUGCAGUGGGUACGGGCAGACUAGAGUGCGGUAGGGGAGAUUGGAAUUCCUGGUGUAGCGGUGGAAUGCGCAUAUAUCAGGAGGAACACCGAUGGCGAAGGCAGAUCUCUGGGCCGUAACUGACGCUGAGGAGCGAAAGGGUGGGGAGCAAACAGGCUUAGAUACCCUGGUAGUCCACCCCGUAA